UAGACCUACGGGGGGCAGCAGUGAGGAAUAUUGGUCAAUGGGCGGGAGCCUGAACCAGCCAAGUCGCGUGAGGGAAGACGGUCCUACGGAUUGUAAACCUCUUUUGCCGGGGAGCAACGGGGUCCUUGCGAGGGCCCGAUGAGAGUACCCGGAGAAAAAGCAUCGGCUACCUCCGUGCCAGCAGCCGCGGUAAUACGGAGGAUGCGAGCGUUAUCCGGAUUUAUUGGGUUUAAAGGGUGCGUCGGCGGUCAGUUAAGUCAGCG
RNAcentral lists this ribosomal RNA (263 nucleotides) under uncultured bacterium. Its description in RNAcentral is "partial 16S ribosomal RNA". It matches the Rfam family "Bacterial small subunit ribosomal RNA", at positions 334 to 593 of the family's 1533-position model. The record is from RNAcentral.